UUUAAAUAGUGUUAUUUUUGUGAACUGUUUAUUGUUAAAAGUGAAAAAUAUACAAAACUGCAUAUAUUAUUUUAAGCGACUUACUUAAAAUUUGCACAUUAUCAUCAUGGAGAAUAUGGAGCUCUCGUUUACUUUUGACGAGUUCAAUUAUGAGCGUGAUUUCACUGCCGAUAACUAUGAAUUUGAAUGUUUAUGGUUCGAGUAUGCCGAAGAGAUGCAACGGGUUGAUGAAUUCGCAGACUUUGAGCAAAACUUUGUCAAACAGUUGACAAUAGUGGACACUUCCUAAAGGAUAAUGUUUUAUGGGACCAUAUUACUCACUUUAAGGAUUACAUUAACUGCAUUUUAAGGAAUACAUUAACAGCAUGUUUUGCAGAGCAAAGAAUGCGGAUAAUACUGAAUCCUGUACUUUACAUUUACAUAUGAAACUCAAAACCUGAUAGCGGGAAGGCUGUUUUUAUCAACUGAAUUCGUCUCGGACCUUUCAUCAUUAAAAAGCUACUUUCACUAAGGUCCAACUGAUCUUUUUCACUGAUCCUUCUGAUACUCCAACGAUCAGAAGUAAGAUGUUUGACUGCUAAUCGUC
RNAcentral lists this unclassified non-coding RNA (586 nucleotides) under Bactrocera latifrons. RNAcentral describes it as "protein windpipe, transcript variant X12". Lineage: Eukaryota; Metazoa; Arthropoda; Insecta; Diptera; Tephritidae. The record is from RNAcentral.